RNAcentral lists this long non-coding RNA (379 nucleotides) under Ananas comosus (pineapple). RNAcentral describes it as "long non-coding RNA (ACOM_LNC034456)". Lineage: Eukaryota; Viridiplantae; Streptophyta; Magnoliopsida; Poales; Bromeliaceae. The record is from RNAcentral.
UAAUGGGACACAUAGUACUGCAUGGAUUUUGACGCCAUCCGAUGAUUGAAAAGUCACAAGCAUAAAUGCUCUUGUGUUUUAAAAGCAUAGGACUUCAACUCUCUCUCUCUCUCUAUAUAUAUAGUAGAGCUACUAUACUUUCGAAAGCAUAAAGAAGUUGGUACUUCUGACUUUUUGGCCCAUAGAUCAGGGCUUAGUUUGGUUAUGAGGCCCAUCAGACAUUAUGAGAUAAAAUGAACUAGGUUUAAAAUUAUAUAGAGAUAUAUUUCUGUGUUCUCCGAUGGGACCGUAAAAAAUAUAUUGUAACUGACUCAUUACGAUAUAAUUACAUAGGAAAACAAACAAAGUAUUUUUCCAUUGUACUUUCCUACCGUACAUA